Small nuclear RNA from Acomys russatus (golden spiny mouse), 103 nucleotides. NCBI's taxonomy places the organism in Eukaryota, Metazoa, Chordata, Mammalia, Rodentia, Muridae. The record is from RefSeq and is a predicted model, not a curated record.
UUGCUUUGGCAUAUGUACUAAAAUUGGAUCAGUGCAGAGAAGAUUAGAGUGGCCCCUGCAAAAAGGAUGACAUGAAAAUUAGGUUGAGGAAAAGCUAUGAAUU